GAUUGAAAUAAAGAUGAUUCAAAAGCAGAGCCACAUGAAUAAUAUAAAUUCAAAGAUGUGUCAAAAAAAUUUCCCAAAUUAAGCAAAAAUAGUACAAUUUCUCCCUAAAUCGCAGCUCCCAUGAUCGGUUGACCAUUGUAGCCUCAUUUCACAUUAAUUAGCGCACACAGAAAGUACCCCAUUUGUAUCCUUUUUUACUGACAUCCUUAACCUGGACAGAAUCAUCCUUCUCUUUGAGUUGUGCGAGCAGCGAUGAUUCAGGGAUGAUGUGAUCGGGUUCUCACCGGACGAGCAAAGCCGGAUAGAGGAUCGAGUAGAAUUGGGUAGUGAGGGAUUAGGAAUUUAUGGAUGGACAUUGGAAGAAGAGUGAAGAAGAUUUUGAGUGCAAACAGAGACACUUCUGAGCAGAGAUCGUCUCAUGAUCAUGGUGGCAUUUCGAAUUUGCGUAGAGUUUUAGAUUUGGUAUUUUUUUUUAUCUUUUUAGUUGAUGAACAGAGCUGAAUGGCCCACGGCCCAGAAAGUUUGGGCCCAUUAACUAAACCAACCCAAUUAAAGGAAUACUG
RNAcentral lists this unclassified non-coding RNA (563 nucleotides) under Hevea brasiliensis (rubber tree). The record is from RNAcentral. Lineage: Eukaryota; Viridiplantae; Streptophyta; Magnoliopsida; Malpighiales; Euphorbiaceae.